Cyprinus carpio carpio is the source of this 1337-nucleotide long non-coding RNA. NCBI's taxonomy places the organism in Eukaryota, Metazoa, Chordata, Actinopteri, Cypriniformes, Cyprinidae. The record is from Ensembl.
AAAUGUAUUUUUCGAUGCUUCAAAAAAUUCUAACGGACCCUCUGAUGUCACAUGGACUACUUUGAAGAUGUUUUUAUUACCUUUCUGGACGUGGACAGUAUACCGUACAUACAUUCUCAAUGGAGGGACAGGAAGUUCUCGGACUAAAUCUAAAAUAUCUUAUACUGUGUUCCGAAGAUGAACGGAGGUCUCACGGGUUUGGAACGACAUGAGGCACAGCAUGGUGACUUAUACUGUAGAAGUUUUCACUGCCAUCCCAGUUGAACUAAAAACAUGAAACCUGAAGACAGGGCCCCUUCAUACACCCCGUUAUGACAUGUGCUUGUAAUGGAAGACGAGGACCAAAUCAUGGAUAUUCUUAAUUUUACACAAAGUGCUUUGCAAAGAGAAACUUUUGGAUGUGCUGUAGUAAGUUACUGAUCACCUCAUGAGCUGAACAAAUCCCAAAUAUAUUGCCAGUAUCACCCAGGAUCCAUCAGAAAUGCAACCCAGGACUGGCACCAGCACCACAACUUGCCUGCUGACAUUGCUUGAGGAAGAGGCCUACAAUCCUUAGAGGACAUAAAGAGAGAAAGACACUCUAACUCAGGGCUAUUCAGUUAGCUUCAUUUGAGGUCCAGAUUAUCAAACUGAAAAUUUGAAGGGGAGUAGGGGCCAUCCCAAUCUCUUUCUGGGGUCCCUUUAAAAUUAGAAAUUAAAUGUAAAUGCCUAUUCAGCAGUAAAAUGAAAUAAUAUUACAUACAGUAGCAUCUAGGCUAUAAAAGGUUAACAUUAGUGCUAUCCAAAUGAAUAUAGAAACAACAUAAAGAUGGCGUUUUAAAUAUGUUUAAUGACAUCUUUUUACUAGCCUAUUAUUAAUGAAGACCAGUAUCAUUGAUACCAAUAAUGUUACCGAUGUCUCUAUUAUAUUAAUUUUCCCCUCAAUUUUAGCCAUUAAUUAUAGCCAUUUAACAUGACAGUAUAAUUGAAAGCCAUUAUUUUCAACAUUUAUUAGGCUUUGAACAAUAAAACAAAUUUUAAUUUAGGUGAACUUAAAAAAAUCUUAACAUAAAUUCUAAAUUGUAUGCAUAAGCUAUAUUAAUGAAACUUUAUUAAGAUACAAAAUUUAAUCAGCAAGCAGAACAGUCGAGUGUUUUUUCUUUUUCUUUUGUUCUUUGAUAAGUCACACACUACAGCAGGUUUCACUUUAAAAGCAGCGCUGUCUCUUUAAAUCCUGAUGCACAUGAUGCCUAUCUGAUACAUAUCAGAUUCCAUUUCAAAAGGGAACUCCACGCUGCGUCCUCUAGAGGGCGCUAUGGGAACGCCUCCAGCGUGACCGGUGUCUGAAGCAUGAAUGA